GGAUGUGAUCAUACCAGCACUGAAGCACCGGAUCCCAUUAGAACUCCGAAGUUAAGCGUGCUUGGGCGAGAGUAGUACUAGGAUGGGUGACCUCUUGGGAAGUCCUCGUGUUGCAUUCC
This 119-nucleotide ribosomal RNA is filed under the name Triticum aestivum (bread wheat). Lineage: Eukaryota; Viridiplantae; Streptophyta; Magnoliopsida; Poales; Poaceae. The record is from RNAcentral.